RNAcentral lists this ribosomal RNA (588 nucleotides) under uncultured bacterium. Its description in RNAcentral is "bacterial SSU rRNA". It matches the Rfam family "Bacterial small subunit ribosomal RNA", at positions 338 to 916 of the family's 1533-position model. The record is from RNAcentral.
CCUACGGGAGGCAGCAGUAGGGAAUCUUCCGCAAUGGACGAAAGUCUGACGGAGCAACGCCGCGUGAACGAUGAAGGCCUUCGGGUCGUAAAGUUCUGUUGUUAGGGAAGAACAAGUGCUAGUUGAAUAAGCUGGCACCUUGACGGUACCUAACCAGGAAGCCACGGCUAACUACGUGCCAGCAGCCGCGGUAAUACGUAGGUGGCAAGCGUUGUCCGGAAUUAUUGGGCGUAAAGCGCGCGCAGGCGGUUUCUUAAGUCUGAUGUGAAAGCCCCCGGCUCAACCGGGGAGGGUCAUUGGAAACUGGGAAACUUGAGUGCAGAAGAGGAAAGUGGAAUUCCAAGUGUAGCGGUGAAAUGCGUAGAGAUUUGGAGGAACACCAGUGGCGAAGGCGACUUUCUGGUCUGUAACUGACGCUGAGGCGCGAAAGCGUGGGGAGCAAACAGGAUUAGAUACCCUGGUAGUCCACGCUGUAAACGAUGAGUGCUAAGUGUUAGAGGGUUUCCGCCCUUUAGUGCUGAAGUUAACGCAUUAAGCACUCCGCCUGGGGAUACGGUCGCAAGACUGAAACUCAAAAUGAAUUGACGG